CCUACGGGUGGCAGCAGUGAGGAAUAUUGGUCAAUGGGCUUACGCCUGAUCGAGCCACGUCGCGUGAGGGAAGACUGCCCUAUGGGUGGUAAACCUCUUUUGUCAGGGAGUAAGGCCGGCUACGUGUCGCCGGACUGAGUGUAGCUGAAGAAAAAGCAUCGUCUAACUCGGUGCCCGCAGCCGCGGUCAUACGGAGUAUGCGAGCGUUCUCCGGAUUUAUUGGGUUUAAAGGAUGCGUAGGCGGAAUGCCAAGUCAGCGGUAACAUCGCGGGGUUCAACGUCGCUGCGCCGUUGAAACUGGCGUUCUUGAGUGGGCGAGAAGAAUGUGGAAUGCGUGGUGUAGCGGUGAAAUGCAUAGAUAUAACGCAGAACUCCGGUGGCGAAGGCAGCAUACCGGCGCCCAACUGACGCUGAAGCACGAAAGCGUGGGUAUCGAACAGGAUUAGAUACCCCUGUAGUC
This 460-nucleotide ribosomal RNA is filed under the name uncultured bacterium. RNAcentral's name for it is "partial 16S ribosomal RNA". It matches the Rfam family "Bacterial small subunit ribosomal RNA", at positions 338 to 795 of the family's 1533-position model. The record is from RNAcentral.